GGGGAAAACACAUUAACAUCUCAGACUUCCACUUGGGAGGCUGCCAUGGGCUGCUGAGCGUUCCGACAGGAAGAGACUCACGCUGGGAGGGAGAGCAGCGUGUGAGUUUCCAGAUGCUGUGUGCAAGUGUGCAAUGUGAUGGACAGUGUGUCACAGCUGACUGCUGUACUCCUCCCGUUCAACAAGACUUCAUACUGGAAAUUGUAGAGGCUGAAAGCAAUUAUCUGACCAACUCUUUCCCUUCUCCAGACCCCAGUGAGAUGGGAUUACAGAAGGCUAGAUCUUGGAAACAUAUGAAAGAUUAAUACGUGAACGGGGACACGCUUUGCUUACGAAAGGACUAAAUAAUUAUUCUUUCACAGUGAGUGGCGGAGAAGCUCCAGAGAUGGAGAACUUGGAGCAGAGUUUGACUUUAGAAUGAGAUGGUUAAGAUAGAACCAGCCCUACUGAGAGUCACCUUGAUCUCGCAGACACCGCUGAGUCUAUAUCUGGGACUUAAGAGUUUUUUGAGAUCCAUAGAUGUGAAGCUUUAUCCCAGGUUGAUGGUCUUAAGACAGAGUUAAAGGAACAGUUCACCCAAAAAUGAAAAUUCUGUCUUCAUUUACUCACCCUCAAGUUAUUCCAAAUAUGUGCAAAUUUUUUGUUCUGAUGAACACCGAGAAAUAUGUUUGGAAGAAUGCUUGUAACCAAACAGUUCUUGGCCACCAUUGACUACCAUAGUAGGAAUCAUUUCUUUGUAAAUUUAUUUUUGUUGAAGAAUGUAGGAAAGCAGUUCUGGGGCACUUUAGACUACCAUUGUAAUUUUUCCUAUACAGUAGUAUGGUAGUCAAUGGUUGUUUGCCAAUGUGAAGGGAGCAGACUGUAAUGUAAGUUGAUGAGAGGCAGGGGCACACGAGGAUCUGUCCACACGGCAGACCCCACGGGUCAAGCCAUUCCACCCAGUCACACAGUCUAACCUUUGUCUUAAAUCAAACUGGCUUACAGAUUUUUUCUGAACCGUAGACCCGCACCAUGAAUAAAUAACGCAAAGCGUACGUUUAAAAAGCACAUUUUGGUUCUCUCUUACCGUCGCCGCUCGUUUGUGUAAACAGAUUGAUAUCCCAUCGACUUUAUUAAGUAGCUCUGCUGGAGUGUAAUUGGCGUGUCCCGAAGAGCAAGGUUAACAAAUCCUUCCGCCGCCCUUGUCCAUCAUCACAUCGACACAUUAAUUGAUAUGAAUGCGCAGGCACAUCCUGUCCGCCACAGAGCCAACGGAAAGACGGCGGCGAUGUGGAAUAAAUGCAGUCGUUAAGGAAUCGCGGCCCAAAUGAAAAUGAAUUGAUUUAUUUUAAUUGAUUGAAUAAAACACAACACGUCCGUAAUCUUCGCCGAGACGUUCAGAGGAGGACUAAACAUUUGUCAGUCUUUAUCUAUUUUCAAUUAGCUGGCUAUAAUGAUUAAUGGAGUGCUCAGAGUUAUGGAUGAGUUAAUUAGUGCUGAGAGCUCAUCUCAUUAGAGCACAGUGGCAUAUUCGCCACAUGCUGCUUAGAGUGGCACCACUCCGUCUAUCUGCACGUGUCCGGGCUCUUGUUAAUGACAUGCUGCUGCUCGUCUUCAUCAUCGUCUUUUCCAACACCAACAAGGUCACUGAAUGCAUGUGUUCAUUUGGGCAUUGCUACCCAGGUGCAUUCCUGGAGAGACCUUGAUGAUGAUGUUCUUACGGCUGUGUUUACAUUACGUCCUCCUGUAUGUGACCUUGAGACACUCGCUGUGGUUGUUUACAUCUUUUUUAAGGGUCCUUUCAUUUCCAAGGAUGUGAGGGUCUCUGAGGUUGCGUUUGCCCUUUACUGCUUAUCUGAGACCGUUUUUGCCAUUUCUUUUCAAAUUAUGCUCUGAGCUGCCCCGAAACACAAAUAACAGCACCUAUGUGCCGGUGAGGGUCCCGCGUCUCUCAGGACCGGGCUGGUAUUUAGCACACCUCCUUUAUUAACAUCUGGCAGCGUGCCAUUAGCUUUUGUUUUCGUUCUGUUUUUCUCCUUGUUCUCUUUCUAGCGCUUUUUAUGCAUGAGUGAUUAGAUAUUAGUAAGCAAGCACAUCGUUUUAAUUUGAACUGUAAUUAAAGUUUGAUGAGAACAAUGCAACACGCAACGACGUCUGUCUGCGUGAAUCGGCGUUCUUCGCUUUCCUUCUCCUGUCCGUCUCGGCUCACCUUUGCGUACCGCACCGGGCGCACAGACCACUUUGCUAAGUGUUAAUUAAGCACACAAGAGCUCAAUAAUUGAGAUAACAUGGCAGUUGGAUGCUGGCUUCCUUUUUGGGUUUUUUUUUAAUUAUCAAGCCCUCUGGGUGUUACUCCGGCGUAAUGAAAUAUGGUCAAUUUGACAAAUCAGUCCCUCCUAACAGCGUUAAUGCCUGAUGCAUAUUCAUGGGUUUUUAGAAGUCUAAUCAAAGUCGUCGCCGGGCCUCCCGUGUGCACAUGGGAUGUAUGUGCGAGCACGCGUGUGUGUUUACGUCUCCUAUGAAUGAUUCAUGCUGUUUAGCUCACAGUUGCUUGGUUGCAUCUGGCUCGGGGAGGUGUGAGUCUGGCCAAAUGGAGGGGCCACAUGGCAGCUCCAGAUGUUCAGCUUUUGUAUAUGCACAGCUCAUCAAAAACAACACCCGUGCCACCCCUGGGUCUCUGCCAUCUGGGGGAGAACCUAGCUGCAGCUUCCUGCCAGCCUGCCGUCGCAUUGUGGGGAAGUUUGCCGCAGCGCGGUUGGAAGAAAAGCGAUAACGUUGUCAGACGGAUCUCCAAACUCUAGUUUUUCAUCUUCUCAAAAUCGCGGGUCACGGUGCGCAACUGAUUGGUAUCCAUAGAUACGCGUAUCCAUGUAAAAUCCCAAAGCACUCAGGGAGGAUAUUUCAUGGCCUGCCUCUCUUAUCUUCCCUUUGAUACAUUUUUUAUCCACCUCGAUUGAAGAUUCAGCUCUUUCAUUUCCUGUGAUAUGUGUCCUGGCUUUUUCCUCUCAGCAGUGGGGAACGGAUAAAGCCCCCAAUAACCAAUUCAGAACUACAGAGCACCUCAGCUGCCCUUCUUCGCCCCUUUUACCAUGAUAAUGAAUUCAUUAGACGUUACAAUAGCAUCUGCUUGGGGACCAAUAGAGCAACCUCUAAUAAAUGGUUUAUGGAUUCAUCUGGCUUCAUUGGUAAUGUGAAGGGUUGGAAAAACUAUGCAACCGAAUGCAUUAUAAUACAAAAGGAGUUAAGGCGUACAGACGUAGUGAUGAACUGCAGAAGGGUUAUGUUAUUAUGUCUGUCUAAUUCUAAUAUGGUCUAAUCUAAUUUUCCCCUCAUUGGCUUUGCAGCUUGGUGACACCUGUUUAUUAUCUAGUUACAGAUUAUACAAAACAAACAUUAAUAAACCAGAGAGGGAUAUAUUUCUAAAUAGAAGAAAUAUCUCCAUUGCAUUUAUUAUAGCAUCAGUUACUAUUAGUAAUAACACCAGACACUGUCACUGUCAGCUCAGUCUUUCUGUUUUUCUGCGUAUAUGUGUCACGCUAACGUAUUCCAUCAACAGUUGCUUUCGAUGUUUUGCAUCCCAGCCACCCAGCACAGAGAAAGGAUUACGGGCGAGUUCUUUGAGUGAGUCUUCUAAACUGCAGAUGGAAUUUACAGUUCAAAAGAGAUUAUGAAUAUUAAAGAGGGACUUUUUUAAUGAUUCGGGUUUGCUCUGGCAAGCAGAGCAUACACAAACUCAAAGGAUUAGAUAAACACAAAGCUUCAAGGUCUUUGCCUGGGAGACAACUGUAUUUAUUAAAUCGCCUCUUUGUGAUUUCCUUUAAAUAAUGUAUAAUUGCGUGAGACUAAGAGCUCAUUGCUGAUAAAAAAAAUGAACCAUGGUAAAGGCACUUGUAGUUAUCCUGGAGAGAUAGGAGUUUGAUUGAUAUGAGAGGCAGAAAAACUGUGCUGAUGUUCGGUUAGCAAAUGUGGGUUUAUGACGUGUGUGGAUAUAUUUUUACUCAAUUUUGAGUUGUAAGGACCCGAGCCUUUCAUUUUACAUCAUCCAAAUGCUUUUGAUGAAUGAUGAUAAUCCCCUACUUGUUUUGUGAAUAAUUCACUUUGUAUUAAAAAGAAAGACUUUGAAAUUCAAACACACUUACAAAGCGCUCUAGGGUGAAAUAAAAGGAUGAGGCUUUUACUUGUUUCAAGAGGUGGCAGAAUGUA
Long non-coding RNA from Triplophysa rosa, 4182 nucleotides. RefSeq lists it as uncharacterized. The record is from RefSeq and is a predicted model, not a curated record. Lineage: Eukaryota; Metazoa; Chordata; Actinopteri; Cypriniformes; Nemacheilidae. The transcript has 5 exons.